GGGUUGUGAGGUUAAGCGACUAAGCGUACACGGUGGAUGCCCUGGCAGUCAGAGGCGAUGAAGGACGUGCUAAUCUGCGAAAAGCGCCGGCGAGGUGAUAUGAACCUUUGACCCGGCGAUGUCCGAAUGGGGAAACCCAGUGCAAUCCGUUGCACUAUCGUUAACUGAAUACAUAGGUUAACGAGGCGAACCGGGGGAACUGAAACAUCUAAGUACCCCGAGGAAAAGAAAUCAACCGAGAUUCCCCCAGUAGCGGCGAGCGAACGGGGAGCAGCCCGGAGUCUGAAUCAGCUUGUGUGUUAGUGGAACGGUCUGGAAAGUCCGGCGAUACAGGGUGAUAGCCCCGUACACGAAAGCACACAUGCUGUGAACUCGAAGAGUAGGGCGGGACACGUGGUAUCCUGUCUGAAUAUGGGGGGACCAUCCUCCAAGGCUAAAUACUCCUGACUGACCGAUAGUGAACCAGUACCGUGAGGGAAAGGCGAAAAGAACCCCGGCGAGGGGAGUGAAAAAGAACCUGAAACCGUGUACGUACAAGCAGUGGGAGCCUCUUUAUGGGGUGACUGCGUACCUUUUGUAUAAUGGGUCAGCGACUUAUAUUCUGUAGCAAGGUUAACCGUAUAGGGGAGCCGAAGGGAAACCGAGUCUUAACUGGGCGUUAAGUUGCAGGGUAUAGACCCGAAACCCGGUGAUCUAGCCAUGGGCAGGUUGAAGGUUGGGUAACACUAACUGGAGGACCGAACCGACUAAUGUUGAAAAAUUAGCGGAUGACCUGUGGCUGGGGGUGAAAGGCCAAUCAAACCGGGAGAUAGCUGGUUCUCCCCGAAAGCUAUUUAGGUAGCGCCUCGUGAACUCAUCUUCGGGGGUAGAGCACUGUUUCGGCUAGGGGGCCAUCCCGGCUUACCAACCCGAUGCAAACUACGAAUACCGAAGAAUGUUAUCACGGGAGACACACGGCGGGUGCUAACGUCCGUCGUGAAGAGGGAAACAACCCAGACCGCCAGCUAAGGUCCCAAAGUCAUGGUUAAGUGGGAAACGAUGUGGGAAGGCACAGACAGCCAGGAUGUUGGCUUAGAAGCAGCCAUCAUUUAAAGAAAGCGUAAUAGCUCACUGGUCGAGUCGGCCUGCGCGGAAGAUGUAACGGGGCUAAACCAUGCACCGAAGCUGCGGCAGCGACACUAUGUGUUGUUGGGUAGGGGAGCGUUCUGUAAGCCGUUGAAGGUGUGCUGUGAGGCAUGCUGGAGGUAUCAGAAGUGCGAAUGCUGACAUAAGUAACGAUAAAGCGGGUGAAAAGCCCGCUCGCCGGAAGACCAAGGGUUCCUGUCCAACGUUAAUCGGGGCAGGGUGAGUCGACCCCUAAGGCGAGGCCGAAAGGCGUAGUCGAUGGGAAACAGGUUAAUAUUCCUGUACUUGGUGUUACUGCGAAGGGGGGACGGAGAAGGCUAUGUCAGCCGGGCGACGGUUGUCCCGGUUUAAGCAUGUAGGCGGAGGUUCCAGGUAAAUCCGGUACCUUGUUAACGCUGAGGUGUGAUGACGAGGCACUACGGUGCUGAAGUGAUAAAUGCCCUGCUUCCAGGAAAAGCCUCUAAGCAUCAGGUAACACGAAAUCGUACCCCAAACCGACACAGGUGGUCAGGUAGAGAAUACCAAGGCGCUUGAGAGAACUCGGGUGAAGGAACUAGGCAAAAUGGUGCCGUAACUUCGGGAGAAGGCACGCUGAUAUGUAGGUGAAGCCCCUGCGGGCGGAGCUGAAAUCAGUCGAAGAUACCAGCUGGCUGCAACUGUUUAUUAAAAACACAGCACUGUGCAAACACGAAAGUGGACGUAUACGGUGUGACGCCUGCCCGGUGCCGGAAGGUUAAUUGAUGGGGUUAGCGGCAACGCGAAGCUCUUGAUCGAAGCCCCGGUAAACGGCGGCCGUAACUAUAACGGUCCUAAGGUAGCGAAAUUCCUUGUCGGGUAAGUUCCGACCUGCACGAAUGGCGUAAUGAUGGCCAGGCUGUCUCCACCCGAGACUCAGUGAAAUUGAACUCGCUGUGAAGAUGCAGUGUACCCGCGGCAAGACGGAAAGACCCCGUGAACCUUUACUAUAGCUUGACACUGAACACUGGUCCUUGAUGUGUAGGAUAGGUGGGAGGCUUUGAAGCGUGGACGCCAGUCUGCGUGGAGCCAACCUUGAAAUACCACCCUUUAAUGGCUGGUGUUCUAACGUAGACCCGUAAUCCGGGUUGCGGACAGUGUCUGGUGGGUAGUUUGACUGGGGCGGUCUCCUCCCAAAGAGUAACGGAGGAGCACGAAGGUUGGCUAAUCCUGGUCGGACAUCAGGAGGUUAGUGCAAUGGCAUAAGCCAGCUUGACUGCGAGCGUGACGGCGCGAGCAGGUGCGAAAGCAGGUCAUAGUGAUCCGGUGGUUCUGAAUGGAAGGGCCAUCGCUCAACGGAUAAAAGGUACUCCGGGGAUAACAGGCUGAUACCGCCCAAGAGUUCAUAUCGACGGCGGUGUUUGGCACCUCGAUGUCGGCUCAUCACAUCCUGGGGCUGAAGUAGGUCCCAAGGGUAUGGCUGUUCGCCAUUUAAAGUGGUACGCGAGCUGGGUUUAGAACGUCGUGAGACAGUUCGGUCCCUAUCUGCCGUGGGCGCUGGAGAAUUGAGGGGGGCUGCUCCUAGUACGAGAGGACCGGAGUGGACGCAUCACUGGUGUUCGGGUUGUCAUGCCAAUGGCACUGCCCGGUAGCUAAAUGCGGAAGAGAUAAGUGCUGAAAGCAUCUAAGCACGAAACUUGCCCCGAGAUGAGUUCUCCCUGAGACCUUGAGUCUCCUGAAGGAACGUUGAAGACUACGACGUUGAUAGGUCGGGUGUGUAAGCGCAGCGAUGCGUUGAGCUAACCGAUACUAAUGAACCGUGAGGCUUAACCUUACAACGCCGAAGCUGUU
This 2931-nucleotide ribosomal RNA is filed under the name Enterobacter hormaechei. Its description in RNAcentral is "23S ribosomal RNA". It matches the Rfam family "Bacterial large subunit ribosomal RNA". Lineage: Bacteria; Pseudomonadati; Pseudomonadota; Gammaproteobacteria; Enterobacterales; Enterobacteriaceae. The record is from RNAcentral.